Molecule: ribosomal RNA, 517 nt
Filed under: Lineidae sp. SJ 5
Lineage: Eukaryota; Metazoa; Nemertea; Pilidiophora; Heteronemertea; Lineidae
Description: partial large subunit ribosomal RNA
Rfam family: Bacterial large subunit ribosomal RNA
Source: RNAcentral
AGCUUGUUGAUUGUUGAUAACAAGUAUUUUCUGCCCAGUGAAUAAAAUAAACGGCCGCGGUACUUUGACCGUGCAAAGGUAGCGUAAUCAUUUGCCCCUUUAUUGGGGGCUUGUAUGAAUGGAAUGACGAAAUUUAAGCUGUCUUUUUCUUUUUGUUGAAAAUUGCUGUUUUUGUGAAGAAGCAAAAGUAUAUAAAAAAGACAAGAAGACCCUAUUAAGCUUUACUUGUGAGUGUCUGUAGUCUGUUAUUUAAUAACUAUGCGGCUAUGUUCUGUGAGUUUGGUUGGGGUGACCAAAGAAGAGAUAAAUCUUCUUUUUUAGUAAAAACUUUUGGUUUUGUGUAAGGGGCCAGAGUGUUUCUGAGAAAAAGAAUAAGUUACUAUAGGGAUAACAGCGUAAUUUUUUCAGAGAGUUCAUAUUGAAGAAAAAGAUUGCGACCUCGAUGUUGACUUGUUGUUUCCUAUAAAUUAAAGGUGUAGCAGCUGUAAGGGUUGGUCUGUUCGACCAUUAAAGCAAC